Molecule: transfer RNA, 71 nt
Filed under: Candidatus Hodgkinia cicadicola
Lineage: Bacteria; Pseudomonadati; Pseudomonadota; Alphaproteobacteria; Hyphomicrobiales
Description: tRNA-Met
Rfam family: tRNA
About the family: Transfer RNA (tRNA) molecules are approximately 80 nucleotides in length.
Source: RNAcentral
GGCGACAUAGUUAAUUGGCAAAACGGAAGGCUCAUAAUCUUCAAAACGGGGUUCGAUUCCCUGUGGCGCCA